This 132-nucleotide small RNA is filed under the name Escherichia coli. RNAcentral's name for it is "RtT sRNA". It matches the Rfam family "RtT RNA". From Rfam's summary of the family: This family represents a bacterial cis-regulatory element known as RtT RNA. The exact function of RtT is unknown although it is thought that it may be involved in changing the cellular response in relation to amino acid starvation. Lineage: Bacteria; Pseudomonadati; Pseudomonadota; Gammaproteobacteria; Enterobacterales; Enterobacteriaceae. The record is from RNAcentral.
AUUCUGCCCAUGCGGGGAAGGAUGAGAAGCUUCGACUAAGGUUCGGCUCGAGCGUCAGUGAGAGAGCGUUGCCGCAGGCAACGACCCGAAGGGCGAAGCGCGCAGCGCUGAGUAAUCCUUCCCCCACCACCA